Long non-coding RNA from Capsicum annuum, 1447 nucleotides. RefSeq lists it as uncharacterized. NCBI's taxonomy places the organism in Eukaryota, Viridiplantae, Streptophyta, Magnoliopsida, Solanales, Solanaceae. The record is from RefSeq and is a predicted model, not a curated record. The transcript has 4 exons.
CACCAUCCAUCUCAAUACAUUCCAACCUAUCAACUACCCGAAUCAGAUAACCCCCCAACCAAAAUCCGGUGAACUCAGCCAUCACGAUAACCCGACCCGUCUUCAACGAUCCCAACACAACCAGCGAAGACCCUAACCCAUCGACCCAUUUUCAGAAGAGAAAAUCCAAAUACAUCCUUUCCCCUUCAAUUCGUACGGAUUGCGUGACCUCCACGUGAGUUCAUACGUCAAAGAACCUCGAACCUUCUAGAACAGUGCCAAGGUGGCCUCUCAACGUUCAACUCUGCAAAUCUCGGGAUGGGGGUACGAAUCUGGUACGUAUUUGGCCAAUUUCUAUUGGCUUGAAGGGGGAUUUUUUUUCGAUUGGCUAAUCCAUUUUUGGAUUUCAUGAGAAACAACAAAAAGGGGUACAAUUGAUUGACGCAAACAGGUUGUAGGGGGGGAAUUUUUGAAUUGGAAAUUCAAAAUUCCUUCUUAUGAAUCCCGAAAAUACCCCAAUCCUUUGUUCUAUAUAAGAACCCAUUUGGGUCACUGUUAAGGAGGUCAAAAAUUCUGGGGUUCUUUGGAGGCUGGAAAUUCUAGGGUUUGGAAAUUGAUUGAGAAAACUAUGUUGAGAAAAUUUCUUUUGGUUCAAAAAGAGGGGGUCGAGGAAUCUUCUUGGAGAAAAGAAACAAAAAUUAGAGAGAGAGGAGAGAGAAAAUUUUUGAGAAAAUUCAGUCUCGAGUAGAAAUUUUAUUCUUGUUCAUCAGCUAAAUUAGAGUUUCAAUUGACUGUGAAGAAGUUUCCUGGUGGUUGUGAUAUCCGUACCAGUUCGUUGUCCCGUUUUGCUACCCAAAGGCCGGGAUGGCUGUGAAAGUCGUGUGAUUAGCUUGUUACAGGUUGCCGUCACCUUUGGUGCUUCGGCUGAAGCUUUGCUCAUUUGCAAAGUUUUAGCAGGACUAGUACUCAAAAAUUCUGCAUUUGGACCAUCGAUGCAUGUUCGAUUCUAUCAGGCAAGUUGAGCUUGCAGCUACCUUUGUCAUUAUUAUUCUUGCUCUCUAGUGGCACCAUUUCCUUAACUACAUAUGGUCAAUUGAGGGAACAUCGAGGCUUUGUGCAGCAGGCUUCCGAUAUGAAGGUAUCAGCUCAGUUGUAGCACGCAUAACAUAUUCAGACAGUUUGCAGCUGCCAGUCAGCAGGUGAUGUGUCCUUUUGAUUCAAGGACUCGAGUCAGUCAUAUAGUUUGAGCAUUAUUUUAUUUUUCCUUAUUCUAUUGUAUUGAUUUGGGAUAGUUGGGGGUCAUGUCCCGGCUAAAUAUAGCCAACACUAAUAGAGGCUUCAUAGAUAGCCAGUAGAGUUAAUGUAUUUGAUUCCAGUGUUGUUUUGCAAUAGUAGAGUUAUAAACAUUUUAAUUUAGUUAUGUAUUGAUCAGAUUCAAAAAAGAAUUGUCUUUCGCUUAUUUCGAUCA